CCUACGGGUGGCAGCAGUGGGGAAUAUUGGGCAAUGGGCGCAAGCCUGACCCAGCAACGCCGCGUGGAGGAAGAAGGCUUUCGGGUUGUAAACUUCUUUUCUCAGGGACGAAGCAAGUGACGGUACCUGAGGAAUAAGCCACGGCUAACUACGUGCCAGCAGCCGCGGUAAUACGUAGGUGGCAAGCGUUAUCCGGAUUUACUGGGUGUAAAGGGCGUGUAGGCGGGACUGCAAGUCAGAUGUGAAAACCACGGGCUCAACCUGUGGCCUGCAUUUGAAACUGUUUUUCUUGAGUGCUGGAGAGGCAAUCGGAAUUCCGGGUGUAGCGGUGAAAUGCGUAGAUAUACGGAGGAACACCAGUGGCGAAGGCGGAUUGCUGGACAGUAACUGACGCUGAGGCGCGAAAGCGUGGGGAGCAAACAGGAUUAGAUACCCCUGUAGUC
This 443-nucleotide ribosomal RNA is filed under the name uncultured bacterium. Its description in RNAcentral is "partial 16S ribosomal RNA". It matches the Rfam family "Bacterial small subunit ribosomal RNA", at positions 338 to 795 of the family's 1533-position model. The record is from RNAcentral.